GUUAAAUAAGAUCAGGGAAGUCACCCAAAUGACACACAGCCAUAGGUGUUAAGUAUACAGAUACUGAAUAAUUUUCUCCCUCUGAUGACUGUUUGAAAAUCAACUAAGGGAAGCUGUGGAAGUACUGAAAUAUGGAAGGUAAGGAAAUAUAAUGCUGCUUUUCUAUAAAUGGAAAUUAGACCAAUUCUAGUAAGACACAAGCUAUAUAUCUGGAUCCCAUUGUUCUCCAAAUGGUGGAGCCCACAGGGAGAUCCCUCCUUUGCCCUCCGUCUUUCUCAAGGAGAAAGGAAGGAGUACCUCUGCCUUUGAAGACCAAGCUUCCAUUCAGUGAUGCAUAAGCUUUGGUGUAAGUGCUUACUUGGAUCUACCCCCUUGAGAAUAAUUUCUGAGUAUCUCAACCCAGGCUCUUGGCAAUGGAAUAGAAACACGCGGAUACACAGGAGGAAGAGAUGAAUGGGAUAUAAAUACUAUUUUGCUUGAUUUUGAACAUCUAAGAUUAGCACAGAAAAUGCAGAUGAUUUGAAAACUCAUGGAGUGAAAAUAUAGUGGUACAGCACAUCACAGUUUCAAGAGUAAAGCUAAAAAUCUGCAGCAAUAUUAAAAAAAAAAAAAGAAAGAGCAAAAAUAAAAAUAACCCAAUUCUUCAGGCAGGAUGCCAUUGAUUUUGUGUUCUGUAUGCUGAAUAAACAGGGGAGAUACAACAGAAAUCAUGAGAUUCAUCUGCUAUUUUUAAUAUACAGCAAUGAAUUUUCAUCCUUAAAGUGCCCCAGUGGGGGGUAGAUAUGAAUGUGGAAUAAAGGGAUGCACAGAUAUUCAGAAUGAUGAGCAGCUCAACAAAAACAUGCAAUCUACUGGCAUUAUGAAAAAUAUCAGGAUAUUAUUAAUUGUGGUAAUUUUUUCCUGUUUCAAGAGAGAGCUCUUCUCUAUUGGGAAUGUAAAUAUCCUCACUGCAGCUUUAUUAAAGGGUUUCAUAAACUAAGUUUCAUUAAAGGGAAGAUCUGCAGCAUUUCAUCAUGCCUCUAAUGUCUCGUUUGGACAGAUCUGCUCCUUGAUCUAAGCUUCUGAUACUUUUAUAUACCUGAUUCAGGGAAGCAUUUGUUUAUUCAGAAGUAACCCUUAGUAUUAACUGUAGACAUAAGCGAUUUUCUAAAUGGGAGAGGCCUCAAAGAUGUAUUUAAAUUCUUGCUUGGCUCUGGGGUUGCUUGCAGCCCUUUCUGGUGCUGUGAGACAAAACAACUGUCUCUAUUACUGAGGUGUGAGCUGUGGACUGUCAUAAUUUUAGCUGGAGGUGCCCUUCACACUUAUAUUCUGAAUACCCUUGCAUACCCGGAGCCCAGAGCUAAUGGAACCUAGCCUUUACUAGGUUUGUUUCCUUUUCUUUUCACCUAAGGGUGUAUGAAAAAAAAAAAAAAAAAAAAAAAAGCAUGCAUACAUAUUUUUUGAUUGGCUAUUGAAGAAAAGUAAGUAUGUAUAGGUCUGUCUUGGGAGCAACUACGUGUUGAGGGAAUAGCGCUGUUCUCAGGAGGAGACUUUCAUUCCGUAGUGCUCUGCUCCCAUGGAGUAACAGAACUGACCUCUGCUGAGCCAGAUUUCCCUGCCUUGAAUUCCAAAUUCCCCUUCCUUGAAACCAGUAGCAAAACCCACUGGGUAUAUCAACCAGCAUGCAUGCAAAAUAAUUUAUACCAGGUGAGUAAGAUCAGGUACUUCUACUUAUUGUAGCACUCAUUGAAAGAGCAUUUCUCCUAGUAUCUCAUCAUAUUUUGCUUCUGAUCUUCUUUUUGUAAUUAUUUUGUCCUUUAAUUUUUGUCCCUUGUGCUAUAAAGUGGUUUGUGGGAUAUUUCUUGUGGCUGCUUUUUACUUUUCACAGCAACUCAGUAUGCAAGAAGGUUUAAAAAUAUUCCCUUUAAAAUGAAUUCCAAAUGAAAUUCGUCUUCAGCAAUUUGACUGUUGGAAAUGAGUACAUCGUGUUACAAGAGGAAUUCUUUCUUGUUAGCUGAUUAGAUGGUAAAGCAUUUCACACAGUCAAACUGAGUUGUGAAUCUUCUUCCCAUAUAAGCUCUGCCACUGCUUUUCUGUGAUUGCUUUGGGCAAGUCAUGUUGCUUCUCAAUGCCCUUUUUAACUUUUGAUGUGUUUUGCCUGUAAUGUCUAUUUAGGUUGUAAUUUCUGAGGGCCAUACAUUGUUAGUUUUUUUACCUUAGAGAUGUUACACACAUACAUACCCUUCCGCUUCCUUCAGAAGAGUGAAGAGGAACCAUAAGGCAGACUGCUUAAAAUUGCCUAUCUCAGGCUUCCUUACACUGCUGACAUCAAACUUUCACAGCAGGUUUUAUUCCAAAGGAAGGCAAUCAAUAUUUCUGCUUACCUUGCAUGGAGCAAAUGAAAGAUUUAUCACAAAGAAUCUGCUAAUCUACAUCAAAUAUCCUAUUUUUCAGUUUUACUUCUGUCUGUGAUAUCCCUUUCUUAUGGAAUCACAAAUGUGGAGAAAAAGAAGCUUAAUCUAUCCUUUGGUAUCCUGAUCUGUUGGAACCCCCCUAAAACGUAUGAGGACAGAUUGGAGUGAAAAGGAAGCUGUAUCUUAUUGGUGCUAAACUAGCAUAACAUUCCCGAAUGGUUUUUUUCGCAACUCAAAUGCAGUGGAGGAUGUGGAGUCCAAUCUAGAGGACAAAAUUCACCCCCAUUGGCAAGCUGGUGAAUGCCAAAACUCUCUGCUCUCUUGAGGCACCGCCUGCGUCAGGAGGAGGUAAGGGACGUUGCUGUCAGAUUAGGCUGACAUCUGCUGGGGAGAGCCCCAAGGCAGGGAGGCAGUGGAGGCCCAGGCUACCAGCCCAGCUGAUUGAAGGCCAACCCUGCUCUGAGGCUCAGAGCAGGCUGGGGGAACCCACCUGUGGGGUAUGGGGUCCUCCUGCUGCAGAAGACUGGACCCUGGCAGCCAUGCAGACAAGUUCAGGGAAGGGGGACACCUCUGCUUUUGUCUCUCCUUUUUCUCUAAUUUCCCUUCCACUUGCCAUCUCUUGUUCUCCUUGAAGUGUUUCUCCCUCAGCCACAGGAAACCUCACCCACUCUACCUAUUUUUGCCCACUGGCAUGUGGGCAGGUAUACCUGCCCUGUAUGCCUUAGCUCAGCACUGCAUCAUGGAGCAAGCACUUUUGUUCAGAGCUCUUUUUAAAGGUAAUAAUAAUAAUAAUAAUAAUAAAAAGAGAGAGAGAGAGAAAAAAAAAAGAAAAAGAAAAAAAAGAAAGAGAAGAAAAGAAACACGCACUCUGAAGCCUGAAUAGCAGUGUUUCUGUCAUCUGUUGUCAUGACACACAGCUGACGUGGGAACACGACAGUAAGGCUGACUGCUAGAUGGGUUUAAUUUUGGUGCAGAAAUUUGCUAGAAGAAGCUUUCAAAAAUAUCUCUGGGUGGGAGGAAAACAGGUGGGUGCUGGUUGUGUGUACGUAGCAGGAGGAAAUAGUUGUCAAUCUUACCCAAGCAUUACUCCACAUCCAUCAGCCCUUUGGUACCCUCUCUACUCAAUGAGGGAAACAAGUGAUGCUGUAUCUCGUUGUUCCUCUCUCCUGCUACUUUUGGAGAAAGUGCUGGUGGAACAGAGUGCAGAGAGAGAACAUAGAAUGACUGAAUAGCAACAUGGUUGGCUUGGUCAAAGUACACAUUGUUUGCUCUAUCUUGGUAAAGACAUCCGUACUCAGCACAGGAAGACAAUGUCAGUAUCAUCCAUUGAAGCCAAAUAAUGGUGAGAUCCUUUCAGGAGAGACUUGUGGGCAACUGAGUCUGAAAUGACAGCUAAUGUUGGAGAAUGGCCCUCAUGGUGAGUAGUGAAUGAUCUGUAGGAAAACCGAGAUGUAGUUUCUGUGGUUGUGGUUGUCCAUCUGGGUGAGUGAGUGGACUCAGUAUCAUGGGUGGACUUCUCAGCACUGUGUUUUCAUUUCCCAUACACAUCUUUGUUUCAAAAAGGUCUCAUUUUUCCCCUUCAGUAUCUGUAGGCAAUUCAUACUGGCUUCUAGAUGUUCCUAAGCAGUCACAGACUUUGCUGGCUACCAAAGAACGUAGGUGUCCAGAAAUAUUCUCUAAAAAUCACUCUGCUAACCCAUUUGAAGCUCAUUUUCCUCUUCUACAAACUACUCUAUAUUAGCACAUUUCUCAUCUCUUAGUCUUUGUCAUCUUGACUAAUGACUUUACUCAUCUGUACUAGUUUACUCACUCGUUUCAAUACUUUGCUAGAUCACAGGAACAUUUUGUGACUUAAUUAAAUUAUCAGUUAGAGCUCAGAGGUCUUUGAAUGAAAACUGUUAUGUUCUGUAACAGCAGAAUACUAUGAUUACAGUUCUGGAAAACAUACUACAGUGUAGAGACUUCAUUUCUCUUUCAUAUUUGCUGUUUGGACAUUGGCAGAAGUGAUGGUGGUGAGACUGGAGCUGAAGACUCCAACCUCAACUCUGAGCAAAAAGCUUGGAAAAAAAACCAUUGUUUGAGACAGAGAAGAUUGAAAGAAAACCAUUGCAAAUCAUUUGUAUGAACUGAUAAAAGCAGGGAAGGAAGAGAAAGAGCUUUGGAGAGGAGACGUGGAGGAAGAGGACACAAGUCUGUGUGAGCAAGAGAGUAGUUCAUGUUUCUUGUGAACUAUAGAUUCUACCUGAUGUGGUCAUAAUCCAAUGGGAAACUAUAGCGUUUCCUUUAAUCUCAUUCUCAUUGUGUCUUAACUUUGUCUGAAAAUCUGAUUUGACCCAUAUCAUGGCUGUAUUCUCAGUAUGUCAAAUGCCUCCUUUCUGCCCCCUACUAGAAGCCCCAUUUGAGAAGCUUUGUUAAAUGGAAAAUGUAUUAUCAAUGAUUCCCUUGCAUCUUUGUUGUUUGUUUGUUUGUUUGUUUCAUUCCCCUCCAUUUGUAAUCCUCACAUUCUUCUUUCUGUUUGUAGCCUCUGCUCUGUAUAUUCCAUGACGUGCUCAAAAAUUCUGAAUAAUUUCCACUGUGGAUUCUAAAAACGAUUUACCAUUUCCAGAAAGCGGCAGCAACAAUCAGUCUCUUAUGCAGAUUGCCACCUUGUUGCUACUUGCCAAACUGUCUCAUAUUUCUCACAGCUCACAACUGGUACACCCUGGGACUCCUGACCUUCCUUCUGGAAGUGUGCAAGCCAUUACCGUAUACAUUUAUGCUGGCUGAAGUAGCUGUUGAUUUUAUGUAGGCUAGGAGGUGUUGACCCAGCUCCUUACCAAACUCCCCCUUCUACUUAGUCCAGGACACAUCCAUCUGGUUCAGCCAUCAGAAGAUGCGUUUGCUGUUCAGUGACAACUUUGAAAGGAAGUCUAUGCUUGACUCUCCUCUCCUCUGCCUGCUCCAGACUGAAGGUAAAAUGACUGCAUGUCUGAAGACAGCAGAUGUCUCAGAGAUGUAAAUGUUCAGCACUCCUGAAUCAAAGCCACAGCAUAACUGAAUACACUACUGUAUAAAGAAAAUAUUGACUGUCUUUGUAUUUGUUUGCUUUCUGUGUAGGGGUAGAAAAUACUAGUAAUGUUUAAACACCUCUUUAGAGUCAUUACAAGAUAUUGUGCAAAUAUAGUAAAUUUUCCCCAGUAAGCAGGCAUGAAAUAUACAUUUGCUUAUCAGAACGAAACAGUUCCAGGGGAGGCCUUGAUGUCUG
Long non-coding RNA from Gallus gallus (chicken), 5637 nucleotides. The record is from Ensembl. Lineage: Eukaryota; Metazoa; Chordata; Aves; Galliformes; Phasianidae.